This 244-nucleotide small RNA is filed under the name Pseudarthrobacter chlorophenolicus. Its description in RNAcentral is "Arthrobacter chlorophenolicus c-di-AMP sequence". It matches the Rfam family "c-di-AMP riboswitch aptamer (ydaO/yuaA leader)". From Rfam's summary of the family: This family represents a conserved RNA structure found upstream of the ydaO and yuaA genes in Bacillus subtilis and related genes in other bacteria. The ydaO/yuaA element is thought to act as a genetic "off" switch for the ydaO and yuaA genes in its native state. The record is from RNAcentral. Lineage: Bacteria; Bacillati; Actinomycetota; Actinomycetes; Micrococcales; Micrococcaceae.
CCUGAUCUGGAGCCGAGCUCUGCCAGCGGAUCGGGAGCAUCAAGUCAUAACUGGCAGAGGCGGGGGAACCACAACUGGCAGCGGGGGACUGCCUUGGGGUGAAGUCCGUCAGCAGCAAGCCUCUUCCAGUGAAGGAACCUUCCGGGAAAUUCUCUGUGCCGCAGCUUGCUUACGGCGGACCGGGUCUGUGCACUCUCUGACCCGAAUCCGACAGCUAACUUCGCAGGCUAUCCAGAGAGGAACC